Long non-coding RNA from Juglans microcarpa x Juglans regia, 414 nucleotides. RefSeq lists it as uncharacterized. The transcript is spliced from 4 exons. The record is from RefSeq and is a predicted model, not a curated record. Lineage: Eukaryota; Viridiplantae; Streptophyta; Magnoliopsida; Fagales; Juglandaceae.
AGCCAAUGAGAAAAAGAAAAAAAGUGCAGAGAUAUAAAAAAGGCAUUUUGCGAUCUUUGUUGGUUUUUCGGUUCUGUUUUUACGUUUUUUAGACUUUUGUUUGGUGAAGUUUUAUUCUUCAAUGGCUGUUGGCGAAAACUCGGAGAGACAUAAGGGCACAAUUGAGGCUUGAAUUUAUCAAGGUUUCCUUCGAUUAGAUGCUAUUGUGGUUUUGGUUGGUGAUACAGUGAAGGCUUUUAAAGAAAUGGUGCAUGUCUGAAUCAAGGCAAUCGUCUCAGCCACAGAAAAUCGUGGACAGCCGCAGCCGAUGUUUUCCUCACCUUGAGCUGUCGAGAGACUGCAGUUACCAGAAAACAGGUGGGGCCGCACCACCUCUUUGGUGCGCGCUGCACCAUUGUGGUGCCCGCAGCACCA